Molecule: ribosomal RNA, 246 nt
Filed under: uncultured bacterium
Lineage: Bacteria
Description: partial 16S ribosomal RNA
Rfam family: Bacterial small subunit ribosomal RNA
Source: RNAcentral
UAACACGUGAGCAACCUGCCUUUCAGAGGGGGAUAACAGUUGGAAACGACUGCUAAUACCGCAUGACAUUAGGGGGAGGGCAUCCUCUUCUAAUCAAAGGAGCAAUCCGCUGAAAGAUGGGCUCGCGGCCGAUUAGCUAGAUGGCGGGGUAGAGGCCCACCAUGGCGACGAUCGGUAGCCGGACUGAGAGGUUGAACGGCCACAUUGGGACUGAGACACGGCCCAGACUCCUACGGAAGGCAGCAG